This 588-nucleotide unclassified non-coding RNA is filed under the name Miconia aplostachya. RNAcentral's name for it is "partial contains external transcribed spacer and 18S ribosomal RNA". Lineage: Eukaryota; Viridiplantae; Streptophyta; Magnoliopsida; Myrtales; Melastomataceae. The record is from RNAcentral.
UGUACGAGAUACGCUUCGAUCGCCCGGCGGCUCCAACUUUUGGUGGUGUCGUGGGAACGUUCGGUGUAUCGCGUCCAGCGAUGGGACGACGCGUGAGUGGUGUUUAGGAUGUGUUUCCAUGCAGGCUCCAUGUAUCUUGCAUCGAACUGCAUGGGUCCAUCUGUUUCAUUCGUGGGUUCGCCUCGAAGUAUUCAGGUUCGGCUGCGGAUACUCGCUGUGUUACUGUGCUCGAUAUUGAAUUAUAAAGUCGGAAGGAUCGGUAUUCCUCGUAUUGCUUAGUUGAUUCUCCUCUGCCGUGCGCGGCGAUGGUGGGAUAUGGGUGCGAGCAUCGACGUUCUACUUUCGGGCCGUUGCCCCUUUUGGGCGCUUUCCGCUCGUGGUGGCACGUCGAUGCCGUCGGCUCUUUCGGGUGCGGAUAUUUCCUGGUUAUCGCUUUGGUCUUCGACCUUCGUGAACGUAUCGUAUCGAGGCAUUCUUGCUUCUGCAUGUACGACCCUCGUGCUCCGUCCGAGAGCUCACGGAGCCCCUUCGUUCGGUGUCCUUCUAGGGGAGCUAUCGAGGUCUACAGAGGAAUGCUACCUGGUUGAU